This is a long non-coding RNA of Cucumis sativus (cucumber), 1145 nucleotides long. RefSeq lists it as uncharacterized. The transcript has 2 exons. Lineage: Eukaryota; Viridiplantae; Streptophyta; Magnoliopsida; Cucurbitales; Cucurbitaceae. The record is from RefSeq and is a predicted model, not a curated record.
AGGGAGAAAAAAAAAAGUUGUCACAAAAGGUGAAAAAAUGCGUUUUUGGCGGGAAAAUGCAGCAUUUUUCGGAUAAUACUUUUCGCGACAAUUAUUUGAUGUUAUAGAAGAUAAUGAAAUAAUUUUUUAAAUUUUAAUAAUUUAAAUUUAAAUUUAAAUAAAAAUUAAGGUUAAUUAAGAUUUUUCUCCAAAUCAACCUUUUUUCUCAAAUCAAAAUUUUUUCCCAAAUCAAAAACCCUCACUCAUGCGAAGAAGCCAUCUCCAAAUGCAAAGAAGGCCAUAUUCGGACGAUGUCCGAUCCCAUCACCGCCACUGCCCCUCGUGUCCAAAUCUCCAUGAUUGCAUCUCCAACUUCCGCUCCGAUGAUACAAUGGACUCCGAAUUGUCUCGCCAUCACUCUGCUUGCAAAAAUUGAGGAUUCUUUCAGUUGGUGAAGCACGGAGUGAGCGAUUCGUUGAUGGAGAGAAUGAGCGAUUCGUUGAUGGAGAGAAUGAAGAUGGAAACGCAGAAAUUGUUCCAACUUCUGAUUGAAGAGAAGAAAAAGCUACGGCAGAGAGAAGGUGAUGUGGAGGGGUUUGGACACGCUUUCAUUACAAGUGAAGAACAUAAAUUGGAUUGGUGUGAUAUUUUCUUCAUUGCUACAUCGCCUUUACAUUUCAGGAAUCCCCGAUUGUUUCAAAAUCUCCCUCUCUCUUUGAGGUUCGAUCAUUCCUUACAUUACAAAACUUUUUAAAUGAUUCUCAAACUCAUAAAAUCCUAGAAAUUAAACUCUGAACUCAUAAAUAUAAAACGAUUCUAAUUUCUUAUUCAUGGUACUUCACCGUCUAGGAAUGGAAUAAGAAAAAGAGAAUAUGAUUUUCUAUUUCAAGAAUUUGAUAUAGUUCUGUCAUACUAGCGUUUUUGGCUUGGGGGUAUACUUUCAACUGUUACCCACAUUCCCAUUGGUCUUAAAUCAGUCUACCCACAAUGUCUAAGGAUCAGAUAUGCAAUUUUGAAUUUUCUUAAAUGUCGUUCAACAAGGUUUGGAGUCCUUUUGGGUAAGAGUCGGUAAGUAUAUUUGUUUUAUUUUCCAUUUAGAAUUGGAGUUAAAUGUUUGAAUGAUAUGGUGAACCGUUUAAGCCCUUUAGUUGUUAUGUUUGGGUGAA